GUGUCAGCAGCCGCGGUAAAACGUAGGACACGAGCGUUAUCCGGAGUUACUGGGCGUAAAGGGCGUUUAGGCGGGUGACUAAGUUCGCUAUGAAAGCGCCGGGCUAAACCCGGCGAGGCUGGCGGAUACUGGUGAUCUGGAGUGAGGUAGAGGGAAGUAGAAUUCCGCGUGUAGUGGUGAAAUGCGUAGAGAUGCGGAGGAAUACCAGUGGCGAAGGCGACUUCCUGGACCUUAACUGACGCUGAAGCGCGAAAGCAUGGGGAGCGAACGGGAUUAGAUACCCCCGUAGUCC
Molecule: ribosomal RNA, 292 nt
Filed under: uncultured bacterium
Lineage: Bacteria
Description: partial 16S ribosomal RNA
Rfam family: Bacterial small subunit ribosomal RNA
Source: RNAcentral